CUAGAUCCAAUAGCUGCAAAACGAACAUAUUAAAAGGUACAAAUUUGAUUAAGCAAAUUCUGAAAGGCGAUAGAAUAAGUCCAGAAUGAUUCAAAAAAUAGUUUGGGCAAAUUUCCAAAAUCUGGAGCAACACGACUAGAUCUAUCUUCGUUACCAUUUUCAAGGACCACAUCGAAAAAAGGUGUUUUCUCAAAACAUAAUCGCAGUGGUCUUACUACAUGGGACACAUUUCGAACUGACAAAGAUGGAGGCGGUUUCGAACGCAAUGUUAAUAACUUUUCAUAUCUUUCAUUGGCUGACAAUUCCAUUUCUUUGCGAAAUACGGAAGGUUUAAUCUAUAAAAAGAACAAGUAACAACGUGUUAAUUAACAUUAUAAUGACUUUCAAAAACGGCAAUUUUUUGUGGGAAGUUGGCGGAUCGGCGUGAUUUUGGCCUAAGCAUA
Molecule: long non-coding RNA, 443 nt
Organism: Chrysoperla carnea
Lineage: Eukaryota; Metazoa; Arthropoda; Insecta; Neuroptera; Chrysopidae
Exons: 3
Source: RefSeq, a predicted model, not a curated record